RNAcentral lists this unclassified non-coding RNA (333 nucleotides) under Parsonsia induplicata. RNAcentral's name for it is "partial miscellaneous RNA". The record is from RNAcentral. Lineage: Eukaryota; Viridiplantae; Streptophyta; Magnoliopsida; Gentianales; Apocynaceae.
ACCUAGCUGCUAUAGAAGCUCCAUCUAUCAAUGGCUAAGCCCCCCGGUCUUAGUGUAUAGGAGUUUUUGAAAAAAUAAAGGAGCAAUAAUCACCUUCUUGUUCUAUCAAGAGGGUGGUAUUGCUCCUUUAUUUUCUUUUUAUUUCUUACAUUAUCAAAGAUUCCAAUAUAUUUGAAAUAGAAAUAAUAAAGAAAAUGGCCGAAACCUAAUUCUAAAUAAAAUAGAAUUGAAAAUGAAAUAGUAAAUAUUCUAAAUAAAUUUUAAUAGGAAAUAAAUAGAAAUAUACWAAAAUAUACUGAAGGGGGCGGAUGUAGCCMAGUGGAUCAAGGCAGU